GGUGUCCCCUCCUCGGGGAGCAUGGUCCUCGGGCUAGGGGUAGAGGGAAGCGAACUAGAGGAGGAGUGGGAGAGCUAGGGGGUGGCCGCGAUGGUGGAGAGCAGGAAGGGCUUGGGGAGCUGGAGGGGCGCGGAUCUUGGUGCAUCGGAAGCAGCCGAUGGUCCGCCGGGCGUCGGCUCGGAGAGUGAGGGAGGAGCUAGAUCUAGCUCUCUUCGAGCUGGGGCUCAAGGACUAGCUCGGGGGAGGCGGCGGACAAGAGCAGGAGUAGUGCGGUACCGACGGCACGGAACGGGGGAGUCGGAGCGGUUCGAACAGCUCGGAGCGGUAACGAGCUCAGGCUCCCGGGACGGAGGGCACAGAGGAGGGCGGCGCAGCCGGACGCUUGCGGUGACUGCUGCUCGAGGUGGUCCUCGGGCCUCAGGGGACGGAGGAGAAGAGCUUGCGGGCACGUGCGACCAGGAGAGUCGGACACGGUCCACGAGGAAGGGACGCGAGCUUCAGUCGGCACUCGACUCGGCAGGCUCGAUGAGGAACGAGCUGGAGGACGGAGAGGGAGCAGACGUUCCCUCUACUCGCUGGCUUCGGAGCGCGGUUCGAGGGGACGUAGCGCGCUCAGCGGCUCGGGGACGGAGGAGCUGGUGAAGUUCAGGGACAGCGGCCGGAGGACGGAACGAAGAAAACCUGGUCGUUCUUGCAGCGGUUCUGGCGCUCAUGGAGAUGCACGUCUGAACGGUUCAUGGUGCUGCGGGCCUCGGGACCUAUGAAGUUCCAGCUGAUGUAGCGGCUCUUGCUGAUGCACUGCUGGGAGCUAUACCUUGACGUUUGCGGUUCAUGGGAAAGUUCAACUGUUCUGGCCGUUCGGGCUGCUGGGGCCUGUAGAUGCUUUUGCACAUGUUGAUGGCAGCGGCACAUGGUGAUGCGGGUUCAAGGUGAUGUUCUACAUGUUGAUGGUAGCGGUGCACUUGUUGAUGAAGGGUGCUGCUGGGCACUUGUUGAUGAAGGAGAUGUGACGAAGCUUGGACUUGGCGAGGCUUUUGCGUGCGAAGCUUCAAGCGAAGAGAGCAAUCGAAGCCAAAGCAAUGCCUCAACACUCCUAAGCAAGCUGAUGCAGGCAAACAGAAGAAGUACCUGAGCAAGAAGAAGGAACGCCCUAAAGUCAACGUCCACGGCUACUAUGGUCACGUCCACUACGUUGGCUCGAGUCUACCCUCGAGUUGCUUCUGGAACCAGCAACGAUACAAAGCAAAGUACAACUAGUCAUCACCUCGGGUCAACCCUGCUAGCCCCUAGAUCGUCAACCCAAUAGAAGAGAAGAAAACCGAAGCAGGCAUCAGCCUGAUAUACACACAUGAGACUUACUACAUACUAAAUAAUAUACAAGUAACACACUUCACCGCUAACAUUCGGUUG
This 1410-nucleotide ribosomal RNA is filed under the name Triticum aestivum (bread wheat). RNAcentral's name for it is "partial small subunit ribosomal RNA". Lineage: Eukaryota; Viridiplantae; Streptophyta; Magnoliopsida; Poales; Poaceae. The record is from RNAcentral.